ACGGAAACGAUGGGAGCUUGCUCCCAGGCGUCGAGUGGCGGACGGGUGAGUAACACGUAGGAACCUGCCCUGUAGCGGGGGAUAGCCCGGGGAAACCCGGAUUAAUACCGCAUACGCACCAUGGUGGAAAGAGGGCCUCUUCUUGAAAGCUCUCACUAUGGGAUGGGCCUACGUCUGAUUAGCUUGUUGGUGGGGUAAAGGCCUACCAAGGCGACGAUCAGUAGCUGGUCUGAGAGGAUGAUCAGCCACACCGGGACUGAGACACGGCCCGGACUCCUACGGGAGGCAGCAGUGGGGAAUAUUGGACAAUGGGCGCAAGCCUGAUCCAGCAAUGCCGCGUGUGUGAAGAAGGCCUGAGGGUUGUAAAGCACUUUUAUUUGGGAAGAAACGCUCGGAGCUAAUACCUUCGAGAAUUGACGGUACCAUCUGAAUAAGCACCGGCUAACUCCGUGCCAGCAGCCGCGGUAAUACGGAGGGUGCAAGCGUUAAUCGGAAUUACUGGGCGUAAAGCGUGUGUAGGUGGUUCGUUAAGUCGGAUGUGAAAGCCCCGGGCUCAACCUGGGAACUGCAUUCGAUACUGGCGAACUAGAGUUUAGCAGAGGAAAGCGGAAUUCCGGGUGUAGCGGUGAAAUGCGUAGAUAUCCGGAGGAACACCAGUGGCGAAGGCGGC
Molecule: ribosomal RNA, 670 nt
Filed under: uncultured bacterium
Lineage: Bacteria
Description: bacterial SSU rRNA
Rfam family: Bacterial small subunit ribosomal RNA
Source: RNAcentral